RNAcentral lists this transfer RNA (90 nucleotides) under Leptolyngbya sp. 15MV. Its description in RNAcentral is "tRNA-Ser". It matches the Rfam family "tRNA". Rfam says of the family: Transfer RNA (tRNA) molecules are approximately 80 nucleotides in length. Lineage: Bacteria; Bacillati; Cyanobacteriota; Cyanophyceae; Leptolyngbyales; Leptolyngbyaceae. The record is from RNAcentral.
GGAUGGGUGGCCGAGCGGUCGAAGGCGCGCGCCUGGAAAGUGCGUAGACGUGAAAGCGUCUCGUGGGUUCGAAUCCCACCCCAUCCGCCA